CUGCAGACAGACAUCUGAGGACUUUUAUUUCUCAGAGAAUACACCAGAGCUGGAUGGCUGAGAAGAGAAAGUGCUAAAGGUUGACUUCAAUGGGAAUGUUCCCUGCCGAAGGUGAAGAUUUGACCCAGAAAGGUGACCAGUUCCAAGAAGAAGAAACAUGGAGAGAUGCACUGUUGGGUGGUUGGUGUCAUUUGACUGCUCUACUCAGAAAUCAUUAACGUGAUUUUGCCUGUGUCUGUCAUUGUCUAGCACAAUGCAUCUUCCUGAUAAAAGGUAAACUUUUGGUAUCUGGAGGGUAAAGGAAAUAAAAAAGAGUCAUAGCCCAUAUAAAUCAAGAGAAAAAGGGGAAAAGGAAGCCACUUAGAAGAGUAGGUGUCAUUGAUUGACUGUAAUUUUAAAGGGUCUUUCUUAUGAUGGACAAAUUCUUGGAGUGUUCAUUAACUAAUGGAAUUAUGGUAGCAGAUGACUGCUGUCUCCACAGAACAUCAGGUUAAAAAGUGCAGAGGAAUAAUGGGCUUUUCUCUAUCAUGGAUCAGUGUCCUCACUGUCUGGAGCUCACUCAAAGACCCUGGAAGGGAUCAAGGGGUUUUCACUAUUGAAAUUCAUGUUUGUGCUUUCCUUUUCUUCAGUAACAGUAUGCACACAUGAAC
Molecule: long non-coding RNA, 650 nt
Organism: Neopelma chrysocephalum (saffron-crested tyrant-manakin)
Lineage: Eukaryota; Metazoa; Chordata; Aves; Passeriformes; Pipridae
Exons: 3
Source: RefSeq, a predicted model, not a curated record